This 1707-nucleotide ribosomal RNA is filed under the name Salmonella enterica. Its description in RNAcentral is "partial 23S ribosomal RNA". It matches the Rfam family "Bacterial large subunit ribosomal RNA", at positions 1163 to 2925 of the family's 2925-position model. The record is from RNAcentral. Lineage: Bacteria; Pseudomonadati; Pseudomonadota; Gammaproteobacteria; Enterobacterales; Enterobacteriaceae.
UAAAGCGAUUCAGCGGGUUACGAUUGACGGAGCGAAGCGACGUCAAAGCGUAUACAAAGUCGAGUCGGUUUAAGGAUACGUUCGUUGGGUAGGGGAGCGUUCUGUAAGCCCGUGAAGGUGGCCUGUGAGGGUUGCUGGAGGUAUCAGAAGUGCGAAUGCUGACAUAAGUAACGAUAAAGCGGGUGAAAAGCCCGCUCGCCGGAAGACCAAGGGUUCCUGUCCAACGUUAAUCGGGGCAGGGUGAGUCGACCCCUAAGGCGAGGCCGAAAGGCGUAGUCGAUGGGAAACGGGUUAAUAUUCCCGUACUUGGUGUUACUGCGAAGGGGGGACGGAGAAGGCUAUGUUGGCCGGGCGACGGUUGUCCCGGUUUAAGCGUGUAGGUGUGUGUUCCAGGUAAAUCCGGUUCACUUUAACACUGAGGCGUGAUGACGAGGCACUACGGUGCUGAAGCAACAAAUGCCCUGCUUCCAGGAAAAGCCUCUAAGCAUCAGGUAACAUCAAAUCGUACCCCAAACCGACACAGGUGGUCAGGUAGAGAAUACCAAGGCGCUUGAGAGAACUCGGGUGAAGGAACUAGGCAAAAUGGUGCCGUAACUUCGGGAGAAGGCACGCUGACACGUAGGUGAAGUGAUUUACUCACGGAGCUGAAGUCAGUCGAAGAUACCAGCUGGCUGCAACUGUUUAUUAAAAACACAGCACUGUGCAAACACGAAAGUGGACGUAUACGGUGUGACGCCUGCCCGGUGCCGGAAGGUUAAUUGAUGGGGUCAGCGCAAGCGAAGCUCCUGAUCGAAGCCCCGGUAAACGGCGGCCGUAACUAUAACGGUCCUAAGGUAGCGAAAUUCCUUGUCGGGUAAGUUCCGACCUGCACGAAUGGCGUAAUGAUGGCCAGGCUGUCUCCACCCGAGACUCAGUGAAAUUGAACUCGCUGUGAAGAUGCAGUGUACCCGCGGCAAGACGGAAAGACCCCGUGAACCUUUACUAUAGCUUGACACUGAACAUUGAGCCUUGAUGUGUAGGAUAGGUGGGAGGCUUUGAAGUGUGGACGCCAGUCUGCAUGGAGCCGACCUUGAAAUACCACCCUUUAAUGUUUGAUGUUCUAACGUGGACCCGUAAUCCGGGUUGCGGACAGUGUCUGGUGGGUAGUUUGACUGGGGCGGUCUCCUCCUAAAGAGUAACGGAGGAGCACGAAGGUUGGCUAAUCCUGGUCGGACAUCAGGAGGUUAGUGCAAUGGCAUAAGCCAGCUUGACUGCGAGCGUGACGGCGCGAGCAGGUGCGAAAGCAGGUCAUAGUGAUCCGGUGGUUCUGAAUGGAAGGGCCAUCGCUCAACGGAUAAAAGGUACUCCGGGGAUAACAGGCUGAUACCGCCCAAGAGUUCAUAUCGACGGCGGUGUUUGGCACCUCGAUGUCGGCUCAUCACAUCCUGGGGCUGAAGUAGGUCCCAAGGGUAUGGCUGUUCGCCAUUUAAAGUGGUACGCGAGCUGGGUUUAGAACGUCGUGAGACAGUUCGGUCCCUAUCUGCCGUGGGCGCUGGAGAACUGAGGGGGGCUGCUCCUAGUACGAGAGGACCGGAGUGGACGCAUCACUGGUGUUCGGGUUGUCAUGCCAAUGGCACUGCCCGGUAGCUAAAUGCGGAAGAGAUAAGUGCUGAAAGCAUCUAAGCACGAAACUUGCCCCGAGAUGAGUUCUCCCUGAGACUUAGAGUC